Gorilla gorilla gorilla (western lowland gorilla) is the source of this 574-nucleotide long non-coding RNA. RefSeq lists it as uncharacterized. The record is from RefSeq and is a predicted model, not a curated record. NCBI's taxonomy places the organism in Eukaryota, Metazoa, Chordata, Mammalia, Primates, Hominidae. The transcript is spliced from 3 exons.
CAGGGGCAGCGGGUGACGGGGAGGUGGAAGUGGAAAUGCUAAGAAAGCUAAAUAUUGUGGUUAAGUCGGAAAUGUGGAUUUCUGACCCUUUUAGGAGGAAGAGGAUGUGGCUGAGUGUGGCACUGGGGCACGUGAAUGCCCACAUGCAGAGGGGAUGCCUGACAAUUAAACCACCCAUAAAGCAAGGCAUUAUAAAUGGCUGUGAGUGUGGCCAGCAUUGACUUUGGGCAACAGAGGUCCGGAUUUGCUAAGCCUCACGGGUCCUCUAAGGCUGUGCUCUCCUAGCUGAAUCCACACAUCAGCCCUCUCCGGAGACCUGCUGGAUGGUCCUCACCGCUGUGUCAUUUGAAAGCGCUCUUGGCCUUUGUUUCCUCCUAGAACACACAUUGUCCUGCAAAGAGCAUGUGCUUCAGAUGUUAUCUUAUUUCAUCCUUACAUGUGGGUUUUACCGUCCCCUUGAACAAGGAGAAAACUAAGGCUGAGAACAUUAAAGUAGCACGAUCAUGGCAGAGGUGAGAUUUUUAAAGCCGACCUGACACCAAGUCCCACACUCUUUCUGUUGAACCUCCAUACC